Molecule: long non-coding RNA, 5868 nt
Filed under: Pan paniscus (pygmy chimpanzee)
Lineage: Eukaryota; Metazoa; Chordata; Mammalia; Primates; Hominidae
Description: lncRNA (ENSPPAG00000044611.1)
Source: RNAcentral
AGUGUAGGCAUACAUGAUCCUAUCAUGUAAGUAGCAUAAAUCAUCAGUGAAAAAGUUAAUAUUUAACUCAGAAAGAAUUCUGUACAUUGAGUUUUCGAGAGAUACAAACCCUAGAGAUAUUCUUUGAUUAUUAUGGAACAAUCCUGAAUGGUGCCAUAAAAUGCUAGGUAAUGCCACUUUAGGAGCUUUGGACCAAUCAUUUUAUCUUUCUUGGUUUUAGUCUGAUUAUCAAUAGAUAAUGUGGCUAAAGAAGAUAGCUUCUUAUUCUGUGUAUCUUCCAGCUAGAAAAUUGUAUGGCUAUUCAAUGUGAAAUUUGGGGAGCAUCUCAUUUUCUGGAAUUCCAUGCUUGCACGUCAGCAGUUUCACUCUGCUUCUUGUGUUGUGGCAAACUUUGGCUCCCACUUUCAGUGAGCACCAUCAUGUUUUUGAUAUCCCAGCAACCAAAUGAAAAAAGAAUGCUCAAAGGCAGUGGGGGAGAAGAAUAUCUUAGCGCAGAAAAGGGCAAACUUCCUUUCUAUUCCUGAAGCCACACAGUGUCUCAUCCUCGAAAUCUGACUGUUUAAUGUAAAAUCUAGGUAGUAAAGACAAGAAGACACAUUUUGCAUCUUUUUUUGUCUUUUUAUUUGUGUGUUCCCACGAGCCAAAUAGGGUAAAUACAUAUAUAAGAUUCUGAAGAGUGAUUGAGAAUAAAAGCACAAAAUGAAGGAGGGCCCUUUUUGAAUUUUGGAAAAUUCUGUUUUAUUCAUUGAAACAGAAAUGAAGCAAACUUCACAAAAAUUUCUGUGAUAUAUUAAUGAUAUGGUAAUUACAUCUUAAAUUUAUAUGGUAAUAGUUCUGUAUAUAUGAUCAAAUUUAAGUGUGAAAUAUUUUUAGUGACUAAAAUGAUGGCAAACUGAGUCAAUUGGUAAAAUCUUUUUAGGUUCUUUUUAUUCAAUAAAGUGAUAACCAUCCUUAAUAUGCCACUCAAGGUUGAAGAAGAAAUGAAAAAGCACGAAAGUAAUAAUGUGGGAAUACCAGAAAACCUGACUAAUGGUGUCGCUGCUGGCAAUGGUGAUGAUGGAUUAAUUCCUCAAAGGAAGAGCAGAACACCUGAAAAUCAGCAAUUUCCUGACACUGAAAGUGAAGAGUAUCACAGAAUUUGCAAAUUACUUUCUGACUACAAAGAAAAACAGAUGCCAAAAUACUCUUCUGAAAACAGCAACCCAGAACAAGACUUAAAGCUGACAUCAGAGGAAGAGUCUCAAAGGCUUAAAGGAAGUGAAAAUAGCCAGCCAGAGAAAAUGUCUCAAGAACCAGAAAUAAAUAAAGGUGGUGAUAGAAAGGUAUACUUUUAUAUUCAAAUGUUUGUGUUGAAUUAGAUUUUUACAUUAUGUUGUUUAACAAAGUGUAGUAAAUGUAGGCAUACAUGAUCCUAUCAUGUAAGUAGCAUAAAUCAUCAGUGAAAAAUUUAAUACUUAACUCAGAAUUCUAUACAUUGAAUUUUAAAGAGAUGCAAACCCUAGAGAUAUUCUUUCCUUAUUAUGGAAUAGUCCCGAAUGGUGCCGUAAAGUGCUAAGUAAUGCCACUUUAGGAGCUUUGGAUCAAUAAUUUUAUUUUUCUUGGUUUUAGUCUGAUUAUCAAUAGAAAAUGUGGCUAAAGUAGAUAAUUUUUUAUUCUGUGUAUUUUCCAGCUAGAAAAUUUUAUGGCUAUCGAAUGUGAAAUCUGGGGAGCAACUCAUUUUCUGGAAUUCCAUGAUUGUACCUCAGCAGUUUCACUCUGCUCCUUAUAUUGUGGGAAACUUUGGUUCCCAUGUUUCAGUGAGCACCUUCGUGUUUUUGAUAUCCCAGGAACCUAAUGAAAAAAGAUGCUCAAAGGCAGUGGGGGAGAAGAAUGUCUUAGCGCAGAAAAGGGCAAACUUCCUUUCUAUUCCCGAAGCCCCACGGUGUCUCAUCCUCUAAAAUGACUGUUUAAUGUAAAAUCUAGGUGGUAAAGAGGGAUGAAGACACAUUUUGCAUCUUUGUCUUUUUAUGUAUGUGUUCCCACCAGUCAAAUGGGGGUAAAUACAUAUAUAAGAUUCUGAAGAGUGAUUGAGAAUAAAAGCACAAAAUAGAGGAGGGCCCUUUUUGAAUUUUGGAAAAUUCUGUUUUACUCAUUGAAACAGAAAUGAAGCAAACUUUACAAAAAUUUCUGUGAUAUAUUAGUGAUAUGAUAAGUGCAUCUUAAAAUUAUAUGGUAAUAGUUCUGUGUAUAUGAUCCAAUUUAAGAGUGAGAUGUUUUUAAUGACUAAAAUAAUGAUAAACUGGUCAAGUGAUAAAAUCAAUUAAAAAUAUUCUUUCUAUUCAAUAAAGGGAUAACUAUCCUUAAUAUCAAACUUUCAUUCAAGGUUGAAGAAGAAAUGAAGAAGCACGGAAGUACUCAUAUGGGAUUCCCAGAAAACCUGACUAACGGUGCCACUGCUGGCAAUGGUGAUGAUGGAGUAAUUCCACCAAGGAAAAGCAGAACACCUGAAAGCCAGCAAUUUCCUGACACUGAGAAUGAACAGUAUCACAGGUAAGUCUGUGGCAACAUUGAACAGGAGAUAACUAUAUGCUGUCAAUCUAAUUCAUGAUGAACAAAUUUUAUACUUUUGCUAGGAUAUUCAGCCUUGCCUGUUAAUCAGAAAAAUGAAAAUCAGUAAACAAUGAGUUACCAUUUUUUCCAGUCAUUAAUUUAUUUGAAAAAUAGCCAGCAUUGGCAAAUGUGAGGGAAAAGACAUUUUCUUUUCUUUUCAGUGAACUUUUAUUUUAGCUUCAGGGUACAUGUGCAGGUUUAUUAUAUAGGUAAACUGUAUCAUGGAGGUUUGGGGUACAGAUUAUUUCAUCAGCCACAUAAUAAGCAAAAUACUCGAAAGGUAGUUUUUUGGUCGUCUCCCUCCUGCCAUGCUCCACCCUCAAGUAGGCCCCAGUGUCUGUUAUUCUCCUCUUUGUGUCCAUGAGUUCUCAUGUUUAGUUCCCACUAAUGAGUAAGUAUAUGUGGCAUUUGAUUUUCUGUUGCUGCAUUAGUUUGCUUAGGAUAAUGGCCUCCAGCUCCAUCUGUGUUGCUGCAAGGGAAAUGGUUUCACUGAAAAAGACAUUUCAUACACUGUUGGCAAAUACAUUUUGAACAUUAAUUUAGUAGCAUAUUCACACACACACAGAUAUAUAACAGAGUAAGGAUGUAUAAUACAUGUAAAGGAUAUUUGUGUAGAUAUGUUACAUACAUACUUACAUAUAAGGACAUAUAUUAUAGCAUUAUUAUAUUAAAAAUUUGGAGCUAGUCUACUUCCUUAUCAAUAGGAAAUAGCUCAAUUUCCAUACCCCCAAAAUAAUGUAUUAUGCAACCAUUUUUGAAAAAUGAGGUUAGAUCUAGGGUAUACUGAUUAUUUCACAGAUAAAAUGUAUUUAAAGCAUUUAGUUUGAUGACACAUCUUAAGAGUUCUUGUUAAAAUUCUUGUAAUAUCUGCUGUGUUGGAAAUGGAAGCUACAUGCUACAUUGACACUGUAACUUGUUAGCAACAAGAUUGCUGAUUAUUAAAUUUUUGUUGUCAGUGCCUGAGUGCUGAAAUAUUGGACCCUCAGUCUGAAUAUUGCCAAGGGAUUGUACAUGGGGAUCUAUAUUUAAUAUAAACAUUUCAGUGUAUUGGGUAAAACUUUUAUUAAAAUACAUGAAAGAUCUUUGAUCUACUAAACCAAGAGUUGGCCAGCUUUUUCUGCAAAGAACCAAUUAGUAAAUAUUUUAGGCUUUGUGGACUACGUAUAUUUAUUUUCUUGAGACAGGGUCUGGCUCUGUUUCCCAGGCUGGAGUGCAGUUGUGUGAUCAUGGUUGUGUGAUCACUGCAGCCUCGACUUUCUGGGCUCUAGUGAUCCUCCCACCUCAGCCUCUCUACUAGCUGGGACCACAGGUGUGCAACAUCACACCCAGCUAAUUGACACUAUGGACUGUAAAGUGAAUAAGCAUGGCUGUGUUCCAGGAUACUUGACUUACAAAAACAGUCAGUGGGCCGGAUUUGGCCCACAGAUGCUUAUUUGCUGACCCUUGUGCUAAAAGGAAGGUGCUGCUAAUGCAUUGACUCUUAUAUGUAAAAGUGUCCUGCAUGGGUGACAUUAACUUUCCUUUGAGAAAAGGAUAUAUUUGAGUAUUCACCUCACUAUAUUUUUCCACAGUGACUUCAUGUAAUUUUAAAAACUUCAUUUAUAAAAUAAGAUUAUUUUCUGCAUUUCUCUCACUUUAUUCCUGUUAAUAGAACUCAGUAUUUUACUGUGAUCAAUUACUUUCUGUAUUUGAUGAGUGUCAACUGUCCUAGAAUUGGCUGAUUUUUAUCAAGCAAGAAAUAUUCUUGUUGAGACCUUUAGUAUUUCUUGGUCUUUAUGUAUAAGCAUGAACAAAAUGAUAAUCAGCUUAUGUAAUCUAGAAAUGUUCAAGGGGCCUUUAAAACCUUGGUCUGGCAUUUAAUGCCACAUGUGUAUAAUUUUUAUAACCUUUGAAAUAUAUAAUUGUUACAUAGCAUUUGAAACCUCCACCUGUUAUGUAAAAUUUGGAAACUAUUUCUUGUCUAUCACUUUUCCAUGACUGUGGACGAAAAUUACAUCAUUCUCAGUCAUGAGUGUUAAGUAUGUUGUCCUUUAAGUAACUGUCUACACUCACGAACUCAAAUUUUCUUUCCAUUCACUCUUGAUCUCAAUGCCAGUAAGUCUUCAAUUUCAGUACUCCUCCAGAGUUGUUUUUCUCGAGGUUAUCACUACUUUUUUCUGUAAAUAAAUCUAUGCAUUUUUUCUUACACCUCAUUUUAUUUAAUGGGUCAGCAAUAUUUGAGCCAAUGGAGGGCAUCUUCUCCCUAACGGCGUCUUCAUUUGUCUUUCAGGACCUCACUCCCUCAGGCUUUUACUCCUGCCUUUCUAGUCCAUUCAUCAUGGUCUGUUUUGCUUGCUCCUCCUCAUCUUUCUCCUUUUGGACAUUGUUGUUUCUCAUGGCUCCGUCCUCAAUCUUCUUUCUCAUGACUUUUUUUUUUUUUUUAAGAUGAAGUCUGGCUUUGUCCCCUAGGCUCGUGUUCAUUGGCACGAUCUUGGCUCAUUGCAACCUCUGCCUCCUGGCUUCCAGCGCUUCUCCUGCCUCAGCCUCCUGAGUAGCUGGGAUUACAGGUGUGUGACACCAUACCUGGCUAAUUUUUGUAUUUUUAGUAGUGACAGGGUUUCCCCAUGUUGGCCAGGCUGACCUCAAACUCCUGAUGUCAGGUGAUCUGCCCGCCUUGGCCUCACGAAGCGUUGCGAUUACAGGCCUGAGCCACACUGCCUGGCCCUUCAUGACUUUUUCUACUGUAUAUAUGCUAGUGAUUUCCAAAUGCAUGUCUCCAACUCAGAUCUCACUCCUUAAUCCAGAUCUCUGUAUCAGCCUGGCUACUUGACAGGCCUAGCGUAUCAGACGUAGCUGCCUAAUAAAUAGUUAUUUGAUUAGCUGUUGGGUAUCACACACUUGUCAGAUCCAAAAUUGGGCUACUGAUGGCCUUCCUGAAAUCUACACCUCAUGUAGUCUUUCCUACUUUGGUUAAUGGCAACUCUUCCAGUUGCUCUGCCAAAAACCUCGGUGUCAUUCUAGACUCAUCUUUGUCUCUGUCUUGACACUUCACAUCUAAUCUCUCAGUAAAUCUCAUCAGGUCUACCUGAAGAAUAUGUCCAGAAGCCAGUCAUAUCUUGUACAUCUGAGCCACCAUCAUCUGCCGUCUAGAUGAGUGUCAUAGACUGGGAAUUGAUAGUCCUGGUUUUUAAAAACUUCCCCUUUCAUCAAUUCUUAACUCAGUGGAUGUAUUUAAAACAUAAGUCAAAUUGUGUCAUUCCCCUGCCCCAGCCCUUCUGAUUGCCUCCCAUUUCACGCUGA